Molecule: ribosomal RNA, 482 nt
Filed under: uncultured bacterium
Lineage: Bacteria
Description: partial 16S ribosomal RNA
Rfam family: Bacterial small subunit ribosomal RNA
Source: RNAcentral
GACGAACGCUGGCGGCGUGCUUAACACAUGCAAGUCGAACGAUGAAGAAGAGAAACGCGAACUUCGGUUCAAAUCUCACUUCGGAUUAGUGGCAGACGGGUGAGUAACGCGUGAGCAACCUACCUCUUACAAAGGGAUAGCCUCGGGAAACCGUGAUUAAUACCAUAUGACACAUUCAUAAGGCAUCUUAAGAAGGUUAAAGCUACGGCGGUAAGAGAUGGGCUCGCGUCCGAUUAGCUGGUUGGGGAGGUAACGGCCAACCAAGGCGACGAGGGGUAACCGAGCUGAGAGCGUGCACCGUCACAUUUGAACUACGACCCGGUCCCCACUCCUACGGGAGGCAGCAGUGGGGAAUAUUGCACAAUGAAGCGAACUCUGAUGCAGCGGCGCCGCGUGAGCGAUGAAGGAGUUCGUUUCGUAAAGCUCUGUUCUAUGAGAAGAAAGGGACUGUACCAUAGGAGAAAGCCCCGGCUAACUACGUG